UACGUAGGGGUCGAGCGUUGUCCGGAUUCAUUGGGCGUAAAGCGCUCGCAGGCGGCCGGCCGCGUCGCGCGUGAAGGCCCCCGGCUCAACCGGGGGUGGUCGCGCGAUACGGGUCGGCUGGAGGUAGGUAGGGGGACGCGGAAUUCCCGGUGUAGUGGUGGAAUGCGUAGAGAUCGGGAGGAACACCGGCGGCGAAGGCGGCGUCCUGGACCUGGCCUGACGCUCCGGAGCGAAAGCGUGGGGAGCCAUCCGG
RNAcentral lists this ribosomal RNA (253 nucleotides) under uncultured bacterium. RNAcentral describes it as "partial 16S ribosomal RNA". It matches the Rfam family "Bacterial small subunit ribosomal RNA", at positions 524 to 776 of the family's 1533-position model. The record is from RNAcentral.